CCUCACAUAAUUUACAAAACCCUCAUCAAUGAAGGACAAGGGAGAAAAGCAAAAAGAUAGGAUUACACUUUCACUUUCAUUUCACUUUUCUUCCACUUUCAUUUCUAAUUCAAAGUCCAAACAAAGCAUUAGUGAAGAAUGAGAUUACAGAAGAAGAAGGAAUAGGGUUUCUGCGCUGGAAAUAUCAUUCAGUUCUAUAACUACAUGCUUCAUGCUUGGCCUAUUCAUGGAAGUUGGAGCUACACAAGCCAUUGCAGUAUCCAAAGCUUUCAUUGCAGAGGAAAUAUCAAAUUCUCCUUGUAAUCUCGGAUCUACAAUAUCCUUUACCUCUCUUUCCACCAGCGUGGAACUAACCCACUGAAUAAUAUGGAUUUUUUCUUCAGUUUUGGUUAUGGCAGGUUGUCCUGUUAUUAUCUCAAGCAAAACUACCCCGAAACUGAAAACAUCACUUUUUUCUCUUAGCUUGCUUAGUCUAUUGUACCUGCAAAAUAAAGCUUUCAACUUAAAAUGAAGCUUAUAUUGAAAGAUAGAGAUAAUAAGAACUUACUCUGGAUCAAGGUAUCCUGGUGUGCCAGCAACAACCGUGAAGACAUGAGUGUCACCUUCAUUAGGAAAUAUCUUUGACAACCCAAAAUCAGCUAAUUUUCCCUGGAGUUUUUCAUUUAGUAAGAUGUUUUUGGAUUUAACAUCUCUGUGAACAAUUGGUGGAUUACAGCCAUGAUGCAAAUACUCCAAUCCUACAGUUGAAUGUUGAAAUUAAGUAAAGCUUUGUUUCAGAAGAUAGAUCCUUGAGCUGAUGAGGAAGAUAGCAUUUUGACAGCUACCUCAGUAUCAUCAUCAAUCCAGCCAUGGUAGACUGUUCCAGAUGCUCCUUUUCCCACAACCUUUUCAAAGUUUCUGGUAAUGCUUAAUACUUCUUCAUAGGUGAAUUCUUGUUUCUUUGAUUCUAGUUCCUGCUUUAUUCUUGAAUAAGCACCAACCUUGCUCAGCUGAUGGGAAGCUGGGACGAAGCAAACACAUUCAUUAUCGAAAUGGAAGAAAAAGUGCAGUUUUUCGUUGCAGUAUUUACAUUUGAGUUUAAUUUUGAUACACAGUGAGCAUAGUCAAUAGAAUAAAAACAUGUACCUUGGUGUCUCUUGUAGUAUAUGCGAAAAGAAAUCAUUGCUACUGCUAGUACCACGACAGCUCCUCCAAGUGAAGCUACUAAUGGAACCACAACCUUAUUUCGAUUCCCCUUGUUGCAUGAACCUGAGGAGCAAAGAUUUGGAUUUCCACCAAAACUUGCAUUUAAAGCUCUGCAGGUACAAAGGGUUGACUAUAUUUAAAAGCUUCCCGUUUACAAAAAUGUUGAACUCUCUAAUUUGAUUUGGCUCGAGUUUCUGGAUUUCAGCAAAGUACAAAUACACGUAAUAUCUGGAGGCAUUAUACUUGGGAAGGAAGUGAAACUCUAUAUUGUCACUGUCUUUUUCUGGAAUUAAUGUUGUUCGCAUGACAGCGGAGGAUGGUAGCGGUAAGAAAUUGAAAAAAGGUGCUCCUUGGUCUAUGCAAUGACAACCAAUUCUCUGAAGUUUACUUUGUUGACAAUUUUCAUCUUUGCCAUGGCUCUUUCUCCAAUUUUACCAUGCGGUGCUGCACGCGAUUUAGUAGCAGUUAAUAAGGUGAUAUGUAUUCAGUGUGUGUGUUGCACUCCACCACCACCAGGAACUUGCUGCAAAAAGUGUUGUGCUUCUUCUUCUCCACCUCAAACUGAGACCAUUGGGCAAUCUCCAUAGUAGAGAAAUCACAUGCCUUACUAUAAUAUUUGUGUAAGAAUCAUUCUCAUAGUCAUAAUGUUACUAUAAUUAUCAAGGACUGGAUUUCAUAUAAGAAAUUAGAUCUUUAAAGUUAUAAAUUGGUUUGUGACUUACAAAUUAAAAAUUAAAAACCGCAGAAUGUGCUGUACAAAUAAAAAACCGAAAACAAAAUUAAAAUAAGAUAAUAAGAAGAAUACUUAGAUACAAUUAUUUAGGUGUGAUUUGUAUUAUUUUUCAAUGAUAAUAUGAUAAGUGUAUAAUUUCCUCUUACACAUAUGUAAUUUUCUUCUAUUUUCACUCCUUAAAUGAUGUUAAAGUACACUUGUCAUAUUUUCAUUGGCAAAUAGCAUAAACCACACUUAAGAAAUUGUAGGUAAGUUUUUUCAAUUAAUAAACACUAAAAUUUUGCAACCCCUGCUAAAUGGAUGUAAAACGAAAAUAAAUAAAAAAAAGGUAUAAUUUUGCUCGCGUACGGUGACACUUUAGACAACGCCAUACCAACUUUAGACAGCGUGAUACUAAUUUUUACCUAAAGUCAUUCUACCUUUCACACAAAAAAGUAGAGAAUCUUUACCCAUGUUUCAACCAUUCUCCUUAUAUCUUUUCUAAUUGUGAUUUAAUAACUGCAAAUUAUUUCAAUAUUAUUUCAAUGUGAUAAAAAAGACAAAGUCCAUUUUAUUUUCUAAUAUUAAAAUAACUUAAUUCGUAAAACCUUUUUCUUUUCCAUAUUUUUUUAUCUUAAUGUAAAAAUGAAAACAAGAUCUUUAGAAUAUGUUUGGAUUGAUGAAACAAAAUGGAAUGAGAUGUAAUAAAAUAGAAUUGUAUAAACUUAAGUUUUAUUGUUUGGAUUAAAUAAAAAAGGAUGGAAUGGAGCGGAACCGAAUGAAAAGAAUUUCAUCGUAUUCCAUCACUAUUCAUCAUUUUUGUACCCUCUGAUUUGGACGGAGUGACAAAACCUAUUUAUUUCGUCAUGAGAUACUCAAAUGGAAUGCCAUCUUUAUUCUAUUUUGUUCUGCUCCGCUUCAUUCUGCUCCGUUCGUUUCACAACAUUCAAACAUAGUCUUAGUUUAAGAAUAUAAAGGGGGAAAGAGGAGUUGCACGGGUUCAAGAUGAAUAGUCGACAACAAAUUCACAAAACAACUGAAAAUAGGGAGAGUGAGAGUUGCAAAUGAUUCACUUAAAAUGAAAAUAGGAUCUUUAAUUUAAGAAUAUGAAGGAAAAUAAAAGAGAAGUUGCAAGAUGAAGAAAAGUGGAAGAAUGAGAGUUGUAGGGUUUAAAGAUGAAUAAUCAACAAAAAAUUCACAAAUGAAAAUAGGGAGAGCGAGAGUUGCAUGUGACUCACUUAAAGAUCUAUUGCAUGAAUGAUGAGAGUACAACACAAUAAAUAAAUUUGGAGAUUGUUCUUUCUAUCCUUAGUAGUGAAGAACCACUCGUAGGAAACUCGAAAAUUCCCUUGGAGAAAAGACAUAACUUAACGCUUCGUACACUCCCUACACACACCAAAACACUUCGUAAGUGAGCCACCGCCCCCAUUUUGCCAAAAAAUAAUUCAAAAGUUAACCUCCGUAUUGAUUAAAGGGUGAGUCUGUAGGUUAAGUUCUAGACUAACUCUUGGACACUUUUUUAACCCAUAAUGUGUGUUUAUUAGGUCAACUCAAUGGAUAUUAUGGAAGUUAAUUUCAAUAUUAACCCUCAGGAUAACAAAUUUUCUUCUUAGGCAGUAUUUUUGUUUAAAAAAUUGACAUAUUUAACAAACCUUAUAUAAUUCAAUCAAACUAUACAUUGAUCACCAAAUACAAUGAAAAUACUAUAUAUAAUUCAGUCAAACCAUACAUUUAUGUAAGUAAAUCAAACUACCAUAUAUUCAGUUAAAAUGCAAACCAUACAUUAUUCACAAAAUACAUAUCAAAAUACAAAUGAUCAAAAUUCAAAGAAAAGUUAACUAUUGUAUAUAUCUGAUCCUCUAGUUCCCCCGUUGCCUCUUGUACUAUAAGACAUUACAUAUCUCGCCUAUCACGACCUCUAUAAUGGCCUUCCUAGGAGUGCUUUUUGAAACUCUUCUCUCUAUGUCUCUCUAUACGCGCUAGCUCAACAACUACAAUACACCGACAUGCACGUAAUACAUGAUUUUCCCUAGCUUGCUCCUCCUCUAAUAUCUCUUAAUGAGCUGCUUAGGUGGCUCUCCCUUUUUAUUCGAUGUCAUAUAAGGAUGUAACACUCUGAAAAACCAUUGGAUGUAGCCCAAUGCAGAACUCCAUGAACAUUGAGCUAGUAAACUUUGUACAUCCUCUGAGACCAAUGAUCGAGGUACUCCGCAAAUAUCUCGUCAACAUCUUUGCGGUAAAAUGUGGGAGAAGCAUCAACGUCGAGGGCUCUAGAAAUUCCCUAUAGAAUCGAAGUGGCAAGUGACUCGCUCAGGUAGAUGCAUAUACAUCAGUUGUAAUCCACAAGCCAACCAUAUGGAGUAGAAUGAUGUCUCAUUGAAGGAGCGUGUCUCUUGGUGAUCGUCACACGGUGUGAAGUUUAUAUCCUUUGUCGUAAUGCAAUUAAGAUAAACUCUAAACAACUUGGUCACUUGAUUGUCCCUGGGUGGGAUGAAGGAGAAAGCGCAUGGGAAAGCCUCAUCGUAUGCAUUCAUAUAUGCUCAGCCGGAGAGGCUUGGAAAGUGUUUGAGGAUCAAUGCCUAAAAAUGAUACAUAUGAAAUAUUAGUAACAAUGAAGCACAGUCGUUAUGAAAUAUUAGUAACAGUAAAUAUGCAAAUAUAUUGCCGUAAAUAAGGUGUUACUUGCUGUCAUAUGUCUAGUUUUCCAUAAAUAAGCUUCAUUUAACUUGGAGUACGGGUAAACCUAACAAGAGGCCCCUCAAUUGUACUCAUUAAUGCUCUCCAAGUCAAUGAAGUAUCUCAGAUAGAGGACAUCGACACAAUAUGCACUUUUGUACACAAAUAUGGAUAUGCAACCCAGAUAUAAAAGCUAUGACCUCAUUGCACAUAUUCUAUGACGUGCUACAUGUGCAUCAUCACCAUCAACUGUCGCAUCCAGGUGGUAUUUGUACAUCCUCUCCAUAAAUACAACUCUAGCAUGACAUCCUCUGGUGUCAUCCAUCUCUUGUUAAGCGUCACUAAAUCCAUCUUCCAAAUAUUGCACCAUCAUAUCUAGUGAGUCUGAAGUAGUUUAAAAAUAUAUCCAUGAUCAGAAGAUGUAGAAGGGAUGGCACAUCAUCAAGUGUGAUGGACUUAUCACCGAUAAAAAGAUGGAAUGAACGAAUUUCUGAGUGCCAUCUCUCGAUAAAAAUAGAUAGCAAACCAUGGUUACUAAAAUAUAUACAAUCCAGGAUAAAUCUUGUAUCCCAGAUAGCUACAUGACAUCCAUAUACCAUGAUUCAUCGGGCUGUGGCAACUUCCUAAUCUUGCAACUGUGGUUGAUACAUUUUAACGCCUCAUGGUGUUGUAAAAAACUAUACCAACGUUAGAAUGUUCAAAUCUUAUAACGCCAGAAUGUUUAAAAUAAUAAAUACAGAUUUAUUUUACAUCUCCGUCCCAUAUAUGUCUGACAACAUGGUCUGCAUAUAGAGAAAGCAGUGAAGUGUUUGAGGGGUCUUCUAGAUAAACAUCAGGAGCGACAAUAGUAGGUUGGGCUUGUGGGAUAUCAAGGGUAGCAGCAGGGGACUCAUGUCUCCGGGAGGACGAUGAAGAAGAUGAAUGAACUUCACAAGACGGUGCUUCAACAUCAAAUGAAAUGGCACAAACGGCUAGACAAGAGGAUCUAGCUCUUUCUAUCUGAACGGAGGCAUGUUGGGCCACUCUACCAUGCCUCAGUAUGUCUAUGUUGGCAAACAUUUAACCUGUAAUUACUCCAGAAAAAUUAUACCAUAAUCGAAGAAGUCAAACCCAAGAAACAUAACAGGCAAAAUCAAAAAAGCAAUGCAAAACAACAAAAUUCGAAAGUUAACUUCCGCAUUUGCAGAACAACAAAAUGCGGAAGUUAACUUCUAUAUCCUCCUGAAACUAGAAAACAAAAGAAAAUAGCAUGCCCAAAUACUUUAACUUCAAACAUAAAAUAAUUUACAUGCAUGUCUUACUAAACAACCUAUUAUGCGUCAUAAUACCAUAAACAACCUAUAAUGCGUCAUAAUGUACCAUAAACAGCCCAUAGUACGUUUAACUUCAAAAUAAUGCAUCAAAAACUAAAGAAAGAAAGAAAAUGAAAAACUUACCGAAUGUAAAAAGUCUACGAUUUUCAAUUGACUGAAGUGGGGUGGAGGUUGAUUGAUAUCCUAAACUUUAAUGCAAAGUAAUACAAAUAGGGAGAAAGUUUGAAAACCAUAAAAAAUAAGUUUUUCACGAGCUUUGUUUUUACUAAUAUUCUUUAUACUUGAAAUGAUAUUCAGUGUUAUCAUAAACACGAAUAUCAUGAACAUUAAAAAAAAAAGGAAAUAUCUUAGAAUAUAUUUAUCUAGAUCAUUUGAAUUGUAUGUUAUCAUCCUAUCAUGAUAAUAAUAAAAAUAAAAUAAGAGUGAGCCAAAUUAGUUCCCCUUAAAAAGAGUCAUAUGUGUGCAUCAAUAAUAUAUUCUAUUAUACAUCGUCUCCAAAAUUAAACUACUUAUACCUUCUUAAAUUAUACCUUCUUAAAUUAUGUUACA
Molecule: long non-coding RNA, 6435 nt
Organism: Vicia villosa (hairy vetch)
Lineage: Eukaryota; Viridiplantae; Streptophyta; Magnoliopsida; Fabales; Fabaceae
Exons: 6
Source: RefSeq, a predicted model, not a curated record